This 311-nucleotide ribosomal RNA is filed under the name uncultured beta proteobacterium. RNAcentral's name for it is "bacterial SSU rRNA". It matches the Rfam family "Bacterial small subunit ribosomal RNA", at positions 430 to 733 of the family's 1533-position model. The record is from RNAcentral. Lineage: Bacteria; Pseudomonadati; Pseudomonadota; Betaproteobacteria.
GCUCUUUUGUCAGGGAAGAAACGGUGGUCUCUAAUAUAGGCGGCUAAUGACGGUACCUGAAGAAUAANCACCGGCUAACUACGUGCCAGCAGCCGCGGUAAUACGUAGGGUGCAAGCGUUAAUCGGAAUUACUGGGCGUAAAGCGUGCGCAGGCGGUUUUCUAAGUCAGAUGUGAAAUCCCCGGGCUCAACCUGGGAACUGCAUUUGAGACUGCAUGGCUAGAGUGUGUCAAAGGGGGGUAGAAUUCCACGUGUAGCAGUGAAAUGCGUAAAUAUGUGGAGGAAUACCGAUGGCGAAGGCAGCCCCCUGGG